CACGGGGGCCCCAAGUGUUGUCCGAUAUUAUUGGGCGUAAAGAGUUCUGUAGGCGUUCAAGUAAGUUAUAGGUUAAAUCUAUCGGCUCAACCGGUAGCCUGCUUGUAAUACUGCUUGGAUAGAGGUAGACAGGGGAAAGCGGAACGCAUGGUGUAGCGGUGGAAUGCGUUGAUAUCAUGCGGAACACCGAAGGCGUAGGCAGCUUUCUGGGUCUUACCUGACGCUGAGAGACGAAAGCGUGGGUAGCGAAACGG
Molecule: unclassified non-coding RNA, 254 nt
Filed under: Patescibacteria group bacterium
Lineage: Bacteria
Description: contains 16S-23S intergenic spacer region
Rfam family: Bacterial small subunit ribosomal RNA
Source: RNAcentral